GGGGAUUUAGCUCAGUGGUAGAGCGCUUGCCUAGGAAGCGCAAGGCCCUGGGUUCGAUCCCCAGCUCA
Molecule: non-coding RNA, 68 nt
Organism: Rattus norvegicus (Norway rat)
Lineage: Eukaryota; Metazoa; Chordata; Mammalia; Rodentia; Muridae
Source: Rfam